RNAcentral lists this ribosomal RNA (697 nucleotides) under uncultured bacterium. Its description in RNAcentral is "bacterial SSU rRNA". It matches the Rfam family "Bacterial small subunit ribosomal RNA", at positions 1 to 732 of the family's 1533-position model. The record is from RNAcentral.
CCCUUAGAGUUUGAUCCUGGCUCAGAACGAACGCUGGCGGCAUGCCUAACACAUGCAAGUCGAACGAAGGCCCUAGCUUGCUAGGUGUCCUUAGUGGCGAACGGGUGAGUAACGCGUGGGAAUCUGCCAUAGAGUGGGGAACAACUUUUGGAAACGAAAGCUAAUACCGCAUACGCCCUCCGGGGGAAAGGCUUCGGCCGCUCUUUGAUGAUCCCGCGUCUGAUUAGCUUGUUGGUAGGGUAACGGCUUACCAAGGCGACGAUCAGUAGCUGGUCUGAGAGGAUGAUCAGCCACACUGGGACUGAGACACGGCCCAGACUCCUACGGGAGGCAGCAGUGGGGAAUAUUGGACAAUGGGGGAAACCCUGAUCCAGCAAUGCCGCGUGAGUGAAGAAGGCCUUAGGGUUGUAAAACUCUUUCGCCGGUGAAGAUGAUGACUGUAGCCGGUAAAGAAGCCCCGGCUAACUCCGUGCCAGCAGCCGCGGUAAUACGGAGGGGGCUAGCGUUGUUCGGAUUUACUGGGCGUAAAGCGCACGUAGGCGGCAUAUUAAGUUAGAGGUGAAAGGCCUGGGCUCAACCUAGGAACUGCCUUUAAUACUGGUAUGCUUGAGUUCGGAAGAGGGUAGUGGAAUUCCAAGUGUAGAGGUGAAAUUCGUAGAUAUUUGGAAGAACACCGGUGGCGAAGGCGGCUACCUGG